AUUGAACGCUGGCGGCAUGCCUUACACAUGCAAGUCGAACGGUAACAGGUCUUCGGAUGCUGACGAGUGGCGAACGGGUGAGUAAUACAUCGGAACGUGCCCGAUCGUGGGGGAUAACGAAGCGAAAGCUUUGCUAAUACCGCAUAAGAUCUACGGAUGAAAGCAGGGGACCGCAAGGCCUUGCGCGAGCGGAGCGGCCGAUGGCAGAUUAGGUAGUUGGUGGGAUAAAAGCUUACCAAGCCGACGAUCUGUAGCUGGUCUGAGAGGACGACCAGCCACACUGGGACUGAGACACGGCCCAGACUCCUACGGGAGGCAGCAGUGGGGAAUUUUGGACAAUGGGCGAAAGCCUGAUCCAGCCAUGCCGCGUGCAGGAUGAAGGCCUUCGGGUUGUAAACUGCUUUUGUACGGAACGAAAAGACUCUUUCUAAUAAAGAGGGUCCAUGACGGUACCGUAAGAAUAAGCACCGGCUAACUACGUGCCAGCAGCCGCAGUAA
This 498-nucleotide ribosomal RNA is filed under the name uncultured bacterium. RNAcentral describes it as "partial 16S ribosomal RNA". It matches the Rfam family "Bacterial small subunit ribosomal RNA", at positions 30 to 523 of the family's 1533-position model. The record is from RNAcentral.